This 206-nucleotide long non-coding RNA is filed under the name Gossypium barbadense (sea-island cotton). Its description in RNAcentral is "long non-coding RNA (GBAR_LNC005434)". The record is from RNAcentral. Lineage: Eukaryota; Viridiplantae; Streptophyta; Magnoliopsida; Malvales; Malvaceae.
AUCAUUUUUCUAAGCUUUAGAAAUCUAUUGCAAAAACAUUGGUUUAGCUUUUAACUCAACUAUGAUUGAACCAUCAUCAGAUAAUGACAAUCGAGUAUUCAUUGCUCGCAAAGCAAAUAGGGAUUUUCUGCUUAGAGCAUCAGCAACCACAUUGGCUUUUCCCGGAUGAUAGUCAAUAAUCAAAUCAUAAUCUUUUAACAGUUCAA